UUACGGUCAAAUCACGCUGAAACACCGGUUCUCGUUCGAUCACCGAAGUUAAGCAUCGGGAGCCAGGUCAGUACUUGAAUGAGGGACAUGCCCGGAAAUCACCUGGUACUGUAA
Acanthosepion pharaonis is the source of this 114-nucleotide non-coding RNA. The record is from the annotation of a GenBank genome assembly. Lineage: Eukaryota; Metazoa; Mollusca; Cephalopoda; Sepiida; Sepiidae.